GAUGAACGCUAGCUAUAGGCUUAACACAUGCAAGUCGAGGGGAAACGGCAUUAUGUGCUUGCACAUUUUGGACGUCGACCGGCGCACGGGUGAGUAUCGCGUAUCCAACCUGCCCUUUACUUGGGGAUACCCCGUUGAAAGACGGCCUAAUACCCGAUGUAAUUCAUUGAUGGCAUCAGAUAUGAAUAAAAGAUUUAUCGGUAAAGGAUGGGGAUGCGUCUGAUUAGCUUGUUGGUGAGGUAACGGCUCACCAAGGCGACGAUCAGUAGGGGUUCUGAGAGGAAGGUCCCCAACAUUGGAACUGAGACACGGUCCAAACUCCUACGGGAGGCAGCAGUGAGGAAUAUUGGUCAAUGGGCGCAAGCCUGAACCAGCCAAGUAGCGUGCAGGAAGACGGCCCUAUGGGUUGUAAACUGCUUUUAUACGAGAAUAAUUUGAUGCACGUGUGCGUUAUUGCAUGUAUCGUAUGAAUAAGGACCGGCUAAUUCCGUG
RNAcentral lists this ribosomal RNA (492 nucleotides) under uncultured bacterium. Its description in RNAcentral is "partial 16S ribosomal RNA". It matches the Rfam family "Bacterial small subunit ribosomal RNA", at positions 28 to 507 of the family's 1533-position model. The record is from RNAcentral.